GUGGAAACAGAGGAAGAGGAGGACUUCAUCGAGCUGCCGAACUCCCUCAACGGCCUGAUUCAUAUCCAUCCAAAGUUGGGGGCGGCUGAGAUGGAAGACCGCAUGGCCUUUGUGUCUCUGUUGGAGGGGCUGCUGCAUCUUGACGGGGAUGAGAGGAUCUCUCCUCGUCAAGCUCUGGAGCUGCCCUUCAUUUCCAUGAGCCACCUGAGGGAGGACGUCCACAGCAGAGACUAUCUGACCACCUCCCAAGAAGCAAUGAGGGUCUGCCCAACGGAGGACAGCG
Long non-coding RNA from Hippoglossus stenolepis (Pacific halibut), 283 nucleotides. RefSeq lists it as uncharacterized. Lineage: Eukaryota; Metazoa; Chordata; Actinopteri; Pleuronectiformes; Pleuronectidae. The record is from RefSeq and is a predicted model, not a curated record. The transcript is spliced from 3 exons.